CAGCUCGAGCUGUGAAAGUCUCCGAUGAUGCCAGAGAACAGUGAAAAUGAGGGUGAUGCCUUACUGCACUUUACUGCUGAAUUCUCUAGAAGAUAUGGCGACUUCGAUCCUGUGUUCUACAUCGGAUCCUUGGAAGCAGCAUGUCAAGAGGCCUUUUACGGAAAAGCCAGAGAU
This is a long non-coding RNA of Carassius auratus (goldfish), 174 nucleotides long. RefSeq lists it as uncharacterized. The transcript is spliced from 3 exons. NCBI's taxonomy places the organism in Eukaryota, Metazoa, Chordata, Actinopteri, Cypriniformes, Cyprinidae. The record is from RefSeq and is a predicted model, not a curated record.